GAUGAAGAACGCAGCGAAAUGCGAUACUUGGUGUGAAUUGCAGAAUCCCGUGAACCAUCGAGUCUUUGAACGCAAGUUGCGCCCGAAGCCAUUAGGCCGAGGGCACGCCUGCCUGGGCGUCACACGUCGUUGCCCCCCCAUCUACUCCUUCGGGAUUGCGGGGGGCGGAUGAUGGCCUCCCGUGCGCCUCGUCGCGCGGUUGGCAUAAAUGCCAAGUCCUCGGCGACGCACGCCACGACAAUCGGUGGUUGCGAAACCUCGGUUGCCCGUCGUGUGCGGUCGUCGCGCAUCGAGGGCUCGAAAAAAUUGUCGGGCUCCGGCUCGGCUUUCAACGCGACCCCAGGACAGGCGGGGUUACCCGCUGAAUUUAAGCAUAUCAAUAAGCGGAGGA
RNAcentral lists this unclassified non-coding RNA (391 nucleotides) under soil metagenome. RNAcentral's name for it is "partial contains 5.8S ribosomal RNA, internal transcribed spacer 2, and large subunit ribosomal RNA". The stretch from base 1 to 122 matches the Rfam family "5.8S ribosomal RNA", at positions 35 to 154 of the family's 154-position model. The record is from RNAcentral.